GAUGAACGCUGGCGGCGUGCCUAAUACAUGCAAGUCGAGCGAACAGAUAAGGAGCUUGCUCCUUUGACGUUAGCGGCGGACGGGUGAGUAACACGUGGGUAACCUACCUAUAAGACUGGGAUAACUUCGGGAAACCGGAGCUAAUACCGGAUAACAUUUGGAACCGCAUGGUUCUAAAGUGAAAGAUGGUUUUGCUAUCACUUAUAGAUGGACCCGCGCCGUAUUAGCUAUUUGGUAAGGUAACGGCUUACCAAGGCAACGAUACGUAGCCGACCUGAGAGGGUGAUCGGCCACACUGGAACUGAGACACGGUCCAGACUCCUACGGGAGGCAGCAGUAGGGAAUCUUCCGCAAUGGGCGAAAGCCUGACGGAGCAACGCCGCGUGAGUGAUGAAGGGGUUCGGCUCGUAAAACUCUGUUAUUAGGGAAGAACAAACGUGUAAGUAACUGUGCACGUCUUGACGGUACCUAAUCAGAAAGCCACGGCUAACUACGUG
RNAcentral lists this ribosomal RNA (497 nucleotides) under uncultured bacterium. RNAcentral's name for it is "partial 16S ribosomal RNA". It matches the Rfam family "Bacterial small subunit ribosomal RNA", at positions 28 to 507 of the family's 1533-position model. The record is from RNAcentral.